AAGUCGUAACAAGGUUUCCGUAGGUGAACCUGCGGAAGGAUCACUAGUGAUUAAAUCGAGAGCGUCUUCAUUGACCUCUCACCCUUCACAUCCACAUACACCCUGUGAACCGUUUGGCUCUUUUUUCCGUUUCUCUCUUCGGAGGGAAGGAAGGAGACGAAGAAGGAACGCUUUAGAUUUUCGUCAAAAGAAGUCUAAAGUCGACCUUUGGAGUUUUCCUGAAGGAAAAGGAGUCAUCAAUCAUAUACAUACACGAAGUCUAAUGAAUGUAAACGUUUUAUAUAAACAAAAUAAAACUUUCAACAACGGAUCUCUUGGUUCUC
RNAcentral lists this unclassified non-coding RNA (323 nucleotides) under Udeniomyces megalosporus. RNAcentral describes it as "partial internal transcribed spacer region". The stretch from base 1 to 46 matches the Rfam family "Eukaryotic small subunit ribosomal RNA", at positions 1786 to 1831 of the family's 1831-position model. Lineage: Eukaryota; Fungi; Basidiomycota; Tremellomycetes; Cystofilobasidiales; Mrakiaceae. The record is from RNAcentral.